GAUGAAGAACGUAGCGAAAUGCGAUAAGUAAUGUGAAUUGCAGAAUUCAGUGAAUCAUCGAAUCUUUGAACGCGCAUUGCGCCUGCCAGUAUUCUGGCGGGCAUGCCUGUUCGAGCGUCAUUUCAACCAUCAAGCCCCAGGCUUGUGUUGGGGACCUGCGGCUGCCGCAGGCCCUGAAAACCAGUGGCGGGCUCGCUGUCACACCGGGCGUAGUAGAUUUUAUCUCGCUCAGGGCGUGCUGCGGGUUCCGGCCGUUAAAAAGCCUUUUUUACCCAAGGUUGACCUCGGAUCAGGUAGGAAGACCCGCUGAACUUAAGCAUAUCAAUAAGCGGAGGA
RNAcentral lists this unclassified non-coding RNA (336 nucleotides) under soil metagenome. RNAcentral's name for it is "partial contains 5.8S ribosomal RNA, internal transcribed spacer 2, and large subunit ribosomal RNA". The stretch from base 1 to 120 matches the Rfam family "5.8S ribosomal RNA", at positions 35 to 154 of the family's 154-position model. The record is from RNAcentral.